UCCGGGUUUCGCCCGGCAGUCUCCCUAGAGUGCCCUUGCGUAGCAACUAGGGACAAGGGUUGCGCUCGUUGCGGGACUUAACCCAACAUCUCACGACGCGAGCUGACGACAGCCAUGCAGCACCUGUGUUCCCGUUCCCUUUCGGGCACACCCGGCUUUCACCGGGCUCCAGGACAUGUCAAGGGUAGGUAAGGUUUUUCGCGUUGCAUCGAAUUAAUCCACAUAAUCCACCGCUUGUGCGGGUCCCCGCCAAUUCCUUUGAGUUUUAAUCUUGCGACCGUACUCCCCAGGCGGAUAACUUAAUGCGUUAGCUGCGCCACCAAAGCACCAAGUGCCCUGACAGCUAGUUAUCAUCGUUUACGGCGUGGACUAC
RNAcentral lists this unclassified non-coding RNA (373 nucleotides) under uncultured Pseudomonadota bacterium. Its description in RNAcentral is "uncultured proteobacterium contains 16S-23S intergenic spacer region". Lineage: Bacteria; Pseudomonadati; Pseudomonadota. The record is from RNAcentral.